AGAACAUCGACAUCUUGAACGCAUAUUGCGGCUACGGGGUAUCUCGUGGCCACGCCUGUCCGAGGGUUGGCUUUUCAUUUAUCGCGACGCCCAAAAUGUCGCGGCUUGGAAAUGGUGCCACCUGGCAUAUGUAAUGGCUUGUUUUUCCUAAAUGUGUGUGCAUUUGUGUGUUUUGCAUGCAUAAUAUGGAACUAGUCAAGCGCGCCAGUGUUAAUUAAUAAUGUGGCUCUUUCCUAAUGUGACCAGUCGCAAUCAUGUUCGAAUUGUGUAUUCGAGUGGGAUUGUGGUAGCGGCUUGUGCUCAGGUCGUGGCUUAGUAUAGUGGUUAAUCAUGCCUGAGCCUGCAAGUUGCGACUGCAAUUUAGCUUAAAUACUCCAUGUGGUUUGUCGAAUGUGAAGUGUCGAUUGAUGUUUUGAUACUUGUUGCCUAACCUCGGAUCAGACGUGAAUACCCGCUGAACUUAAGCAUAUCACUAAGCGGAGGAAAAGAAACUAACCAGGA
This 501-nucleotide ribosomal RNA is filed under the name Cardicola opisthorchis. RNAcentral's name for it is "eukaryotic LSU rRNA". The stretch from base 428 to 501 matches the Rfam family "Eukaryotic large subunit ribosomal RNA", at positions 1 to 74 of the family's 3401-position model. Lineage: Eukaryota; Metazoa; Platyhelminthes; Trematoda; Strigeidida; Aporocotylidae. The record is from RNAcentral.